AAUGAACGCUGGCGGCAGGCCUAACACAUGCAAGUCGAGCGGACGAAGGGAGCUUGCUCCUCGCUGCCGCGGCCGACGGGCGGGUAAUUCAUAGGAAUCUGACUGGUAGAUGGGACUAACGUAAGGACACGGGCCCUGAUACAGCAUCCGUCCAGAUGUUGAAACUCAUGGAUCAUCGGACAUAGCGCUAUUUGAUGAGCCUAGGACGGAUUAGCUAGUUGGUGGGGUAAAGGCUUACCAAGGCGACGAUCCGUAACUGAUCUGAGAGGAUGAUCAGUCACACUGGAACUGAGACACGGUCCAGACUCCUACGGGAGGCAGCAGUAGGGAAUAUUGGACAAUGGGCGAAAGCCUGAUGCAGCCAUGCCGCGUGUGUGAUGAAGGUCUUCGGAUUGUAAAGCUCUGUAAUUAGGGAGGAAGGAAAGUAAGUUUAUACCUGGCCGUCUUGACGGUACCAACAGAAAAAGCAACGGCUAACUACGUG
This 484-nucleotide ribosomal RNA is filed under the name uncultured bacterium. Its description in RNAcentral is "partial 16S ribosomal RNA". It matches the Rfam family "Bacterial small subunit ribosomal RNA", at positions 29 to 507 of the family's 1533-position model. The record is from RNAcentral.